CUGGGGGUGCGUGAGGAAGAAAAGCACCAUGGGGGCCGGGCACGGUGGCUCACGCCUGUCAUCCCAGCACUUUGGGAGGCCGAGGCGGGCGGAUCACGAGGUCAGGAGAUCAAGACCAUCCUGGCCAACAUGGUGAAACCCCGUCUCUACUAAAAAUACAAGAAAAACAUUAGCCAGGCGUGGUGGCGGGCGCCUGUAAUCCCAGCUACUCGGGAGGCUGAGGCACGAGAAUGGCGUGAACCCCAGAGGUGGAGCUUGCAGUGAGCUGAGAUUGUGCCAUUACACUCCAGCCUGGGUGACAGAGCGAGACUCCGUCUUAAAAAAAAAAAAAAAAGAAAAGAAAAGCACCGUGUGGGCUCUCUCUCCGGGGCCCGUUGCCCCCACUGCCUGCCCCCGGCUCCCCACUAGGCAGGUCCCCUCGGCCCGGGACACGCGUCACUCACAGCGUCUGAGCUACACACGGAGCGGGGCCGCAACAGCAGCUCCUCCCUUCGGCCCAGAGGCCCAGCUCCGUGCCCCCUUCACCUUCACCUCGACCUCUGCCGGGAGGGAGACAGCGUCCGCAGAGACCGAGCCACUCCCAUUCCCACACCAGGUCGAACUUGAAAAGGGACGUCGCCCACCUGUACCGAGGAGUCGGCUCGCGCUACAUCAUGGGGUCAGGAGAAUCCUUCAUGCAGCUGCAGCAGCGUCUCCUGAGAGAGAAGGAGGCCAAGAUCAGGAAGGCGA
Molecule: long non-coding RNA, 729 nt
Filed under: Pan troglodytes (chimpanzee)
Lineage: Eukaryota; Metazoa; Chordata; Mammalia; Primates; Hominidae
Description: long non-coding RNA NONPTRT018594
Source: RNAcentral